Oreochromis aureus is the source of this 55-nucleotide microRNA precursor. Lineage: Eukaryota; Metazoa; Chordata; Actinopteri; Cichliformes; Cichlidae. The record is from Ensembl.
AGUGACUGAGCCUGUAAAGACAAUUUCUUGAUGUCUUUACAGGCUCAGUCACUCA